Non-coding RNA from Acanthosepion pharaonis, 75 nucleotides. NCBI's taxonomy places the organism in Eukaryota, Metazoa, Mollusca, Cephalopoda, Sepiida, Sepiidae. The record is from the annotation of a GenBank genome assembly.
AUCACCAAAGUUAAGCACUGUUGAGCUUGAUCAGUACUGAGAUGGGUGACUGCUUGGGAAUACCAGGUGCUGUAA